RNAcentral lists this ribosomal RNA (497 nucleotides) under uncultured bacterium. Its description in RNAcentral is "partial 16S ribosomal RNA". It matches the Rfam family "Bacterial small subunit ribosomal RNA", at positions 28 to 507 of the family's 1533-position model. The record is from RNAcentral.
GAUGAACGCUGGCGGCGUGCCUAAUACAUGCAAGUCGAGCGAACAGACGAGGAGCUUGCUCCUCUGACGUUAGCGGCGGACGGGUGAGUAACACGUGGAUAACCUACCUAUAAGACUGGGAUAACUUCGGGAAACCGGUGCUAAUACCGGAUAAUAUAUUGAACCGCAUGGUUCAAUAGUGAAAGACGGUUUUGCUGUCACUUAUAGAUGGAUCCGCGCCGCAUUAGCUAGUUGGUAAGGUAACGGCUUACCAAGGCAACGAUGCGUAGCCGACCUGAGAGGGUGAUCGGCCACACUAGAACUGAGACAAGGUCCAGACUACUACGGGAGGCAGCAGUAGGGAAUCUUCCGCAAUGGGCGGAAGCCUGACGGAGCAACGCCGCGUGAGUGAUGAAGGUCUUCGGAUCGUAAAUCUCUGUUAUUAGGGAAGAACAAAUGUGUAAGUAACUAUGAACGUCUUGACGGUACCUUAUCAGAAAGCCACGGCUAACUACGUG